Molecule: ribosomal RNA, 429 nt
Filed under: Gemmatimonadota bacterium
Lineage: Bacteria; Pseudomonadati; Gemmatimonadota
Description: Gemmatimonadetes bacterium partial 16S ribosomal RNA
Rfam family: Bacterial small subunit ribosomal RNA
Source: RNAcentral
UAGGGAAUCUUCGGCAAUGGACGAAAGUCUGACCGAGCAACGCCGCGAGAGUGAAGAAGGUUUUCGGAUCGUAAAACUCUGUUGUUAGAGAAGAACAAGGACGUUAGUAACUGAACGUCCCCUGACGGUAUCUAACCAGAAAGCCACGGCUAACUACGUGCCAGCAGCCGCGGUAAUACGUAGGUGGCAAGCGUUGUCCGGAUUUAUUGGGCGUAAAGCGAGCGCAGGCGGUUUCUUAAGUCUGAUGUGAAAGCCCCCGGCUCAACCGGGGAGGGUCAUUGGAAACUGGGAGACUUGAGUGCAGAAGAGGAGAGUGAGAUUCCAUGUGUAGCGGUGAAAUGCGUAGAUAUAUGGAGGAACACCAGUGGCGAAGGCGGCUCUCUGGUCUGUAACUGACGCUGAGGCUCGAAAGCGUGGGGAGCAAACAGG